RNAcentral lists this ribosomal RNA (433 nucleotides) under uncultured bacterium. RNAcentral's name for it is "partial 16S ribosomal RNA". It matches the Rfam family "Bacterial small subunit ribosomal RNA", at positions 29 to 507 of the family's 1533-position model. The record is from RNAcentral.
AACGAACGCUGGCGGCAUGCCUAACACAUGCAAGUCGAACGAGACCUUCGGGUCUAGUGGCGCACGGGUGCGUAACGCGUGGGAACCUGCCCUUAGGUUCGGAAUAACUCCCCGAAAGGGGUGCUAAUACCGGAUAAUGUCUUCGGACCAAAGAUUUAUCGCCUUUGGAUGGGCCCGCGUUGGAUUAGCUAGUUGGUAGGGUAAAAGCCUACCAAGGCGACGAUCCAUAGAUGGUCUGAGAGGAUGAUCAGCCACACUGGGACUGAGACACGGCCCAGACUCCUACGGGAGGCAGCAGUGGGGAAUAUUGGACAAUGGGCGAAAGACUGAUCCAGCAAUGCCGCGUGAGUGAUGAAGGCCUUAGGGUUGUAAAGCUCUUUUACCCGGGAUGAUAAUGACAGUACCGGGAGAAUAAGCUCCGGCUAACUCCGUG